GCAGUGUGAAAAUCAGUUGAAAGUAAAUACCAAUGAGAAAACAAUUUACUUGGUGAUGAAACGGUUAUCAGAUUCGUAUACCGAAUUAGAACGUGCCAUCAAAGAAUGGUUCCAUCGCUCAGGUGACAGAAUAAGAAGCGUUACAAAACAAAAUAAAUAGUAUUAGUAAAAACAAUGUAAUAAAAUAUUACUAUAUUAAAAUCAUUUUUUAAAUAAAUAUAAAAGAUAUAAAAUAUAUAAAUGUAACAUGCUAUAAUAAUAUAAAUAAUAAAUAUCUAUAUAUUUUUUAGAGUAAUAA
This 298-nucleotide small RNA is filed under the name Atta cephalotes. Its description in RNAcentral is "sRNA LOC105620765". The record is from RNAcentral. Lineage: Eukaryota; Metazoa; Arthropoda; Insecta; Hymenoptera; Formicidae.